CGUAUAGCCGCUGACUCGCGAAAUCCUCUCGUAGCGAGGAUUUCGCGAGUCAGCGGCUACACG
Non-coding RNA from Nematostella vectensis (starlet sea anemone), 63 nucleotides. The record is from Rfam. NCBI's taxonomy places the organism in Eukaryota, Metazoa, Cnidaria, Anthozoa, Actiniaria, Edwardsiidae.